Molecule: ribosomal RNA, 369 nt
Filed under: Ophiotheca calongei
Lineage: Eukaryota; Evosea; Eumycetozoa; Trichiida; Trichiidae
Description: SSU rRNA
Rfam family: Bacterial small subunit ribosomal RNA
Source: RNAcentral
GCGUAAAGGGCAAGUAGGUGGGAAUUGACUUAAAAAAUGAAAGACUAGAUACUAAUCUUUUAUGUUUUUUAAUUAAAUUCCUAGAAUAUCAGACGUGAGGAUUCGUACGUAAAAUUUAGCGGUUAAAUGCACAGAGAUUUAGGGACGGACAUCGGUGAAAGAAAUAUCAAGUCGAUUAUUGACGCUGAGAGACGAAAGACGGGGAGCAAAGAAGAUUAGAGACCUUCGUAGUCCGUGCUGUCAACGCUGAGUUUUCAAUAUAGAAUUAUUUAGAAUAAAUUUAGUGUUUAAGCAAACGCAUUAAAUUUCCGCCUGGGAAGUACGAUCGCAAGAUUGAAAUCAAAAGAAUUGACGGUGACUUGUACAAAG